This 810-nucleotide ribosomal RNA is filed under the name uncultured bacterium. Its description in RNAcentral is "bacterial SSU rRNA". It matches the Rfam family "Bacterial small subunit ribosomal RNA", at positions 8 to 796 of the family's 1533-position model. The record is from RNAcentral.
AGAGUUUGAUCAUGGCUCAGAACGAACGCUGGCGGCGUGGAUAAGACAUGCAAGUCGGACGAGAUUUUUCGUUGUAGCAAUACGAUGGAAAGUCUAGUGGCGAACGGGUGCUUAACACGUGGGCAAUCUGUCUUAAAGUGGGGGAUAGCUCGGCGAAAGCCGAAUUAAUACCGCAUGUGAUUAGAGUGGACAUCCAUUCGAAAUUAAAGGUGGCGCAAGCUACCGCUUUUUGAGGAGCCCGCGGCCUAUCAGCUUGUUGGUGAGGUAACGGCUCACCAAGGCUUUGACGGGUAGCUGGUCUGAGAGGACGACCAGCCACACUGGGACUGAGACACGGCCCAGACACCUACGGGUGGCAGCAGUCGAGAAUUUUUCUCAAUGGGGGAAACCCUGAAGGAGCGACGCCGCGUGGAGGAUGAAGGUCUUCGGAUUGUAAACUCCUGUCAUUGGGGAACAAGUCGCUUACGUUAACUGCGUGAGCGUUGAUAGUACCCGAAGAGGAAGAGACGGCUAACUCUGUGCCAGCAGCCGCGGUAAUACAGAGGUCUCAAGCGUUGUUCGGAUUCAUUGGGCGUAAAGGGUGCGUAGGCGGCGCGGUAAGUCGGGUGUGAAAUCUUGGAGCUUAACUCCGAAACUGCAUUCGAUACUGCCGUGCUUGAGGACUGGAGAGGAGACUGGAAUUUACGGUGUAGCGGUGAAAUGCGUAGAUAUCGUAAGGAAGACCAGUGGCGAAGGCGGGUCUCUGGACAGUUCCUGACGCUGAGGCACGAAGGUCAGGGGAGCAAACGGGAUUAGAUACCCCAGUAGUCC